This 920-nucleotide unclassified non-coding RNA is filed under the name Leishmania donovani. RNAcentral's name for it is "gene:unknown". Lineage: Eukaryota; Euglenozoa; Kinetoplastea; Trypanosomatida; Trypanosomatidae. The record is from RNAcentral.
GCGUCAUUCUAUCUAUCUUCGCACUAUCCCGUCGCACAGGGCUCUCGCCCGAGCGCUCUGCCACCUCACCUCGCCCAUUCACCUCACACGUUCUCCCUCUAUGCGCCCCACAGAUUGUUUUGGACGCCCACUGCACUCUUUCUCAGCCUUGCUUUCGCUCUUGAGCUCUCACUUCUGCCGCUGGUGCGUCGUCAACCACACCGGCACAGUUUCUGCACAGUGACGAAAAGCCUCACAAGCCGGGGGAGCGAAAAAGGGCGCUCGCGCUUAACGACUGUGUCAACUGGACAACUUCUCGGCGCGUCCCCCCCCCGCUAAAGGCGAGAAGCUGGUAACAUUCUUUGUGUGUGUUUCUAUUCUGUUAGCUGAAGGGGCGACCUUAAUGGAGGCCAUAUCGACUGGCGGAUGGGAAAGUGGCAACAACAAAACUUCUAGCGAGCACGUGCUUGAAAUGCGAGUGAAAACGCCCGCCGCUCUGUGCUGUGACGUUCUCUCCCUUUCUGUCCUCAAGGCCGCAAGGGCCGCUCUGCUUUCCCUCUCUUUUUUUUUGUUCAAUCUGUGCUGGUCCUGCCCACCGUACCGCACUCCGCACGCCCUGUGUUGGAGGCGGGCCUCUAACCUAUGGCUUCGUGAGUGUAUUUCCCCAGAAAACGAAGAAAGGGUGCUACAGGUUUAUAUGCACGUGUGCGUUACGCCAAAACAUCCGGGGUAUCUCCACGGGCAUCCACUUGAGGCGGCAUCUCCCAGCUGGGGUGGAUGCGGUGGGCGCCCCUCCCCCGGCCCUGAGAAAUCGUUUGCCCCCCCCCCCUCCAUCCCCCGCACAAACUCUCACUACACUUUUAUCUCCCUUUCACCAUUUCCGCGGAGGCGCUUCUUCACACGAACGCUGGUAAAAACACCCAUCCUCUCGUUGGAGGCAG